GCACAUUAACCCACCGCCUCCACUGCACAGCAUCACCUCCAAAGGAGCAGCUUCAGGACAGGAUGCUGUGGCUGCGUCUGUCCUGCUGCUCUGACAGGCUGAGGAGAGACUCUGCAAACUGCACCAAACCUGACAUUAGUGGCCAAAUAUUAUGACAAUAUGACGGCUCAAACAUUCUUAUUGGCACUUUAUUACAUUUUAAUUAUUGUCAGGUGUUUGGUUGUUGGUCAUUCCUGCAUUACUGGUUGUUACAUGGUUUUAUCAAAGUUGUUUCCAUUCAAGACUGCCAGUGACAGCCGCAGUGAGACCUCAGUGUAUGUUCCGCUGUCAGAAAGAAAAGCCACCAUUUCCUGUUUGAAGAGUACGUCUGGUGUGUGGGGGGCUCUGACAAAUUUAGGUUAAGUCGUCUUAUCUGCGUGUUCACUUUCUGCUCUGAAGAUUCACAGAUACGCUUCUUGCCUUCCUUUUGGAUUAACGUCACAGGUGAGGUUCAGCAGUGAAGGAGCUAAAAUAAGGCUGAUGUGCUCAUUAUAUUCAAAGCUCGACAGGACAUCGGAAAGUGUGUGACGCAUGUGUUUGCCUAGUUUAUAUUUGUUGCUUGUAUUCGUUGCUUUGAAUUUACUUUGCUUUAUAACGUGAGACCCUCGUUCGGUGCUGUCGUCCCGCGACUGUAUAUCCCGUGUUUGCCGCAUUUGAUAAUUUGCAAUGAAAUACUUUGAUUUCAAGGUGAAAUGGAGGAAGUUUUGAAAUAUUUGAGCAUCAACUGGACCUUGAUAUUCUGCCUACUCAACAUGUUCUCAUCAGCAGAGGGAAGCCAGAUCUCAAAGACGGUUGGCAGCCCAGUGAGCCUGCACUGCAACGCCUCCACCAGUAAAUUCAUUCAGCUGACAUGGAAUAUGAAUGGAGUUUACCUGUUCAGUUACAGCUCCGGCGGAGAGCUUCACUACAGUCCAGAAGCCGCAGCGCUAAACUUGAAUGUUUCUACAUCAGCGUCUCGGCUGUAUGCGCUCCUGAUCGACAAGGCCCAGAAGCAUCACACUGGAAACUACAGCUGCGAGUCGACUACAGUGGCAGGAAUCUUCAGCCAAAACUGGGAGCUCAUUGUAACCGAGAGAGAAGAGAAAAAGCUCAACGUCCUUAUGAUUUCUGUGGGAACGACAGUCGUCUGUGUGUGUUUUCUGAUCUUCAUAUUCACUUGGAUUUUCCUGAGAACCGUCUGCAAGAAGGACAAAGAGUAUGUCGCAUUUAUGCUUUUAUUUGAUUGAACAUAUGAGUCUGUAUGAAUGUAAGAGUGACUUUACAGCAGUGGGAUGAAAAUGAAAUGUCUUUUUCUUUUUUUGACAGAAUUACCAUUAACCCCAUACAAGAAAUGGUGAGUAAAUUAACCCUGAUGUUCUCUGUGGAGAAGACACAAACUUUUACUCUGCAGUUGUUGUUUUGCAAAGAGACUAAUAGGAAUGUUUGUCUUGAUGCCGAAUAUUUGAACUAAGCGAUGUUUCUUUUUGUUUUUCAGCAGCAAACUGAGGACAUUUAUGAAAACUGCUUGAAAAUUGAACAAAGAAACAAGAAACAUUCCCGUGGUGACAAGCCUUAGUGAAUCGAAUAUUUAAGAAAACCUGUUCUGAACGUCAUACUUUUUUAGUUUAUUUGUUUUUAAUGUACUUUAUGUGAAAGAGCGCACAAUAUUUGUUUUUUUUUCUCCUUCUCUCUCCGGCCACCGGAACACCUGCACAUUCUUAUUUAAGUUAAGUAAAUUAAUUUCAGGUAAAAUCUCUGACUCUUAGUUCUGCAUAUCCACCUGCACCAUUUACUUUUAUUUCUAUUUUAGUCCAGAAGCUGUAGCUCUUGUUAUGACAGGUGUUUCAUGUGGACAGAGGGAAGUGGUCGCCCGUGGGCAGGGCAGAAAAACUCACAGGAAGUACGCCACACUGGGUGGGCGGCGUGGGAGUCUCUUCUGAAGCCAUCAGUGCUGAGAGACUAAAUGAUUUUACUUUUACAGCACGUUUCCACUGCAUUAGUGGUUCAGCGUGUUGCUCCAGGGAACAUCGACACAAGAGCAACUAGCAACCCUCCAGCCGAGCCACAGCCGCCCUGCAUCAUCAUUUCAGCUCAAAGCUUUAAUUUUCCUGCUCUCAGCUUGAACCGCAGCCUCACGAGUCAAAAGAGGGCAGAGCGACGCAAAGCAGAGCAGAGCUCUCAGUUUGUCAGUGAGUCAAACGUUUCCAUGCAUGAACCGUGACCUGGAACCAAAUGGACGCCCUGGAUAUGAAAAGAUUAGUUCCAAGCAUCAGGGAGGGGCCGAAACCAAAUCAACCAAAUCACAUCUUAUUUACAGAGCACCUUUCACACACGGUGUGGCUCAAAGCGCUUGGCAGGUUGAAAACACAAAAAGGUUAAUAAAACCACACCACCCCCUUUGCGCGCGCACACACACACACACACACACACACACACACACACACACACACACACACACACACACACACCUCCUGUCCACCCACGACCAACACACAUCUGUCUCCUCUGGGAGGGGCCAGUGACGGCGGUCUGGACAGGAUUUUCUGACUCAUUUAAUUUCCACUGUUACACCCUGUGGGAUGAAAAACAAGAUGGAUGGAUGGAUGGAUGGAUGGAUGGAUGGAUGGGGAAAAAAGAGAAAGACAGGACUCUGAGUGUCCACAUGCUCAGUAAAGUGGCUGGUAAUGAAUUAAAGGAAGCUGCAGCGUAAAUCAAACAACAGUCCCAAAAGUAAAGGUGUGAUCAGAAUAAUCUAUUGAUAACAUUUACUUUUUGAUUCACAGUUUCACAUUUUUUAGAGUUUAUAAGGGAGAAGAGCUGCAAUGGUUAGAAAUGUUAGAUGUUUUACAUUUUAUCUAUUGUCCCACUUUUCAUCAUGAAAUUGAAAAUCUUCAAUAAUGUAGAAUUAUUAACUCACCAUAUGUUGUCUAGUAGGGACUACAUUCUGUGUUGGACUUGCCUCCAUCAAUGAAGCACAAACAUUUUUUUAAUUGGAAAACAUGUUCUGUGAAAAUAUAAAUUAGUACAGCAAAAAACAAGAUGAAGAGUUGUGCAGAAGCAGAUGUUUGGUGUUCUCGGUGGUUAUAAGUGUGAAACAAAAAGGAUGUGGGGAGGUAAAAAUAGCUCAGUACCCAUGAAGCAUUGCUUCCAUCCUGCAUCAAGCUACUUCAGAAGCCUCUGAUAAAGCUUUGAUAAUGUCUGCUAUUGCAAUGUUCAGCUGCUCGAGCCUGGCACACCAGACUGUCUCUCCAUGCUCAGGGAUACAUGUCUUUAUAUGUGUGUAACAUAAAUAAAGUCAGUCUGGCACGCCAGGCUGCAGCUGCUCAGCUGUGGUCCUGUACAGGCAGCAAAUAAAGGAUUUGCACUUUGCUGAUGUGUCUCCAGCCGGGUCACCUGGACAUUACCAGGAUUAUUUAUUCAGAUGACUUUUCACUUUUCUUACUUAUUAAACUAAAUAUCCACACUUCC
This 3486-nucleotide long non-coding RNA is filed under the name Salarias fasciatus (jewelled blenny). RNAcentral describes it as "lncRNA (ENSSFAG00005011252.1)". Lineage: Eukaryota; Metazoa; Chordata; Actinopteri; Blenniiformes; Blenniidae. The record is from RNAcentral.